CGGAAGCCGCCUCGGGUUUUCUAGCGGAGCGCCGGAUUAGGCAGUCCCCGCCCCGGUGCCCCUGAUUGGGUAGGGCCUCAGGCCCCGCCCCCUCAGACUCUUAGUGACAGGUGACAGCUCCCGCGCGUGUCUGAAUGAGGCAGCGUUCUGGCUACAGCUCUUCUCCAAGAGGGUUUCCUCUCUGGGUUGGGACCCAGCCUUGCCUAGGGGACAUUCAUUUAUAUACACUUAACCUUGUAUAGCACCUAUCAACCCAUCACCUAGGUAUUAAGCCCAGCAUGCAUUAGCCAUCUCCUCUUUGACUUUUAACAUGAAAUUCUCAUGAUCAUUUUAUGUUAUCAAUGACCAGUCAUAGGUUUUAAAAUGCUGGCUGUUACUUGUGUAUAAUAAAUUUUUCCCAUCAUUAUUCAUAAUUAUGUAAAUACCUGGGACUUACAAUAUUUAGAAUAGUCCGAGGUGAAAGCCAACAUAAGGAUGAACUUGAUCUGCAUUAUCUGUUUCCUGAGAGGGCUCGGGAGCUUCACCCUAUUAUCUUCCAGUAGUAGCAUGAUCAUCUGCACUGUAGCUUAUUUCAGUGUGACCCAGACGAAUUCAAUUUACCGAGUGUCGGUGACUUCUUCUCCUGUCUCAGCCUCCCGAGUAGCUGGGAUUACAGGCAUGCGCCACCACACCUGGCUAAUUUUGUAUGUUUUAGUAGAGACGGGGUUUCUUCCUGUUGAUCAGGCUGGUCUCGAACUCCCGACCUCAGGUGAUCUGCCCGCCUCCGCCUCUCAAAGUGCUGGGAUUACAGGCGUGAGCCACUGUGCCCAGCCUCAAAUUCUUUUAAUAUAUCCCACAAAAAAAGAGAUUUGUCCUAUUCCUUCUCAUUCUAGCAUUCUAGUCUUCAUAGAUAUAUGUAUUUGUUUUAUGUUUUCUUUUUUUGAGAUGUAGUCUUGGAGUGUCGCCUGGGCUGGAGUGCAAUGGUGCAAUUUUGGCUCACUACAACCUCCGCCUCACAGGUUCAAGUGAUUCUUCUGUCUCAGCCUCUGGAAUAGCUGGGAUUACAGGCGCCUAUCACCAUACCCAGCUAUUUUUUUGUAUUUUUAGUAGAGACAGGGUUUCACUAUGAUGGCCAGGCUGGUCUGGAUCUCCUGACCUCAUGAUCCGCCCACCUCAGCCUCCCAAAGUGCUGGGAUUACAGGCGUGAGCCACCGGGCCUGGCUGUUUUUUUUUUUUUUUUUUUUAACAAAUAUUUUAGUCUUAUUUGUAAAUCAUUUAUACAUAUUCACACGAAGAAAAAUAAAUUUCAGAAUGGAAUCUUGGGACCAUUGUAGUUAAAAAAAAUAUAUAUAUAUAUAUAUAUUUCUGAUCAUUAGCCACUUGAAGACAAGGCAAGAGGCUUAGCAGUCAUUUCUAGGGGUUAGUGUAUCUCCCCAUGCAAGGGACAAUUGAGAAGAAUCCAAGCUGCUCCCUCAUCUUCCCUCAAUUUUAACCUUCUGGAGACAAUAUGGGGGAAGGGGAUUUUCCAGUGCUUUCCCCUAGAAACAUUGCAAGAGGUACAGCCAAGUCUUACGGUAACACUGAACCUGCUCUUUGCUAGCAAUUUAGCAAGUUUGCAACCUGUGAACCAACCUACUAGAAGAGUUAGCCUAAUUCCUAUUCACAGGUACUUCUAAGAGGAGGAGGGAUUGCUGCACUCAUCACACCCGCUUCCCACUUGCUCUGUUCUCCCACCAAGGCCCCAGAACAGAGCUCUUGAUCUCAUCUGAUCUAGUCCCUCCCCGCUCCCACCCAGCCUCAUUUCACAAGUGAACCUUCCUCCCACCCCACACUCAGACAGACACUCUGUAACUGUUGGCCCUGGCAGCUCCUGAGGACUGCUGGGAUGAUGACACAGCAUUUUUGCAUCAGCAUCGUACUCACAGGGACUCGGAGCUCAGCCAGGAGAGGUCCAAGAAUGACGGAACUCUAGAACCCCUACCAAAACUCAGCUCUGCAGAGCCAAAUAAACAAUUCAACCCAACAGGCCAACUCCUAACAUCCCAUCCCAGACAGUCAUCACUGGAGGCGCGCAGUAGAUGAACCUCCUACUUGCACUGAACCAUUACCAAUUCCCAGUAACAGUGGGGGAAAGGACAGACAUGACAAAUGUGGUAGACCCUAUCAGAAAUGGUAGCUGAUGACAACAGUUAGCCUAGAUCACUGGGUCCUAUCCAAAAAGAACGGGCAUGAUGAGCAGAGGGCUCUGUAGCUGGAUGUACAGCCCUUAAAUUACUAAGGGACUCAGAGAAAACAAGCCUUGUUUUCCUACGAUUAUCUAGGAACUGGAACACGGACUACCCACCCCUAUGUUGAGGCAGCUUCUGACAGGCCUUACUGCUUACGGUCAUCGGUCAUCAGCCCACCCGCUUGGUAGGUGCAUUUGGGGGGAGGGACUCACAUCACAUCCAGAGGGGGGACCCAUCUAGGCGGACACCACAGGGCAGCCCAUCCCACUGUCACUGGGGCAGGCCAAACACGGUUAGCAGGGCGGACUGAUUCCAGCCAUCAGCCGCCCUACAGGCGUCGCUCUGGCCUAACACAGAAUGCGAAAUGCAGGGUGCUCCAAGUGUUCUCCGACAUGGCACCUCCUUCACCCCGAGGGCCCCGGCUUUUCUUCCACAUGUUCAGGGCCUCCAGAAAGUGCUCUGCAGCCUCCCAGUGAGCCCCAGGUUAUAGCCUCCCAGUGAGCCCUGCAGCUGAUGCCCAGGUUAUAGCGGGACUGGAUAUAGCCAGGCUGGAGCUCAAGGGCCUGGCAGUAUGAAGUUACUGCUUCUUCACUCUGGUUUUCCUUCCACAGCAAAUAGUCAUUGGGAUGAACACUGAAGGUAGCUGUGAAGCAGUUCAUGGCCUUGUCGUAUUCUCCACUCAGGUUGAAAAGGACCUGCAAGCCACACUGCACAUCAGGGUCCAUGGAUGUAGGGUCCAGUUGCACAGUUGCUAGGAAGAGCUCUUUCAUUUCAAGAAACAGGGAGUCAGACAACAGAGAUCCCAAGAUAUGCUUGCUGGCGCCCAGUCCUGCCCCGCCAGCCCCUUCUUCAGCAGGUGUCACCAGAUAGCCACAGGCUGGUGUGUGGCAGGGUUUCACAGGCCUGUCACUGCAGAGGCUCAUUGGUAAAGCCUGCAGCCGGGGCCAUCAGUGCUUAUCUGGCUUUAGCUCCAGACACCUCUGCAAUGCUCUGAUGGCUCACAGUUCUUGUUCAUUCUCUGCCUGGUUGGUACCCAGAUACGGCCAAGCUUCCAUGUGCUUAGGAUCCUGCUGCAUAGCUGCCUCAAAAAGCA
RNAcentral lists this long non-coding RNA (3300 nucleotides) under Homo sapiens (human). Its description in RNAcentral is "HSALNT0025433". Lineage: Eukaryota; Metazoa; Chordata; Mammalia; Primates; Hominidae. The record is from RNAcentral.